Molecule: ribosomal RNA, 264 nt
Filed under: uncultured archaeon
Lineage: Archaea
Description: partial 16S ribosomal RNA
Rfam family: Archaeal small subunit ribosomal RNA
Source: RNAcentral
AGUCACUGACAUUAGAUACCCGCGUAGUCCUAGCCGUAAACGAUACUCGCUAGGUGUCGGCCACGGUGUGACCGUUGUCGGUGCCGUAGGGAAGCCGUGAAGCGAGCCACCUGGGAAGUACGGCCGCAAGGCUGAAACUUAAAGGAAUUGGCGGGGAGCACCACAACGGGUGGAGCUUGCGGUUUAAUUGGAUUCAACGCCGGAAGUCUUACCGGGACCGACAGCAACAUGAAGGCCAGGCUGGAGACUUUGCCGGAUUAGCUG